Silurus meridionalis is the source of this 513-nucleotide long non-coding RNA. RefSeq lists it as uncharacterized. The transcript is spliced from 3 exons. NCBI's taxonomy places the organism in Eukaryota, Metazoa, Chordata, Actinopteri, Siluriformes, Siluridae. The record is from RefSeq and is a predicted model, not a curated record.
UCUGAGGAUCUUCAGUUUCUUAAUCGCGUGCACAGUGGGAGAGCCCCUCGGUCAACAUGAGGAUGGACAAGAGAACAUUAAGGCUUUGGUGUGUUUGUUGUUGUGUUUGUUAAAAGAGAAUGAGAUGUGAAGUCUGAAGCAUUCCUCAGCUUCUUGGCACAAACUCCGGUUUGUUUGUUGUCCAUUUGGAUGGUGGCUUUAGCAGAAGAGGUCAUGCAAAAUGGAAGAGUGUGUUUGGCAUGCACUGUUAAAAUGCCAGAAACUACUUUUAACUGACAAAACAUUUAACUGUUGGCCAAAGCCACAGGAAAUGACGGCGGGAUGGCAGGAACCUGGAGUACAUUGUGUCUCUUUCUUUCCAAGACUACAGGGAGAGAACAUCUGUGCUGGAUGGAUGUGAAAAACACCACCAGGAGAACUACAAAGAGACGAGUCAGCAAGCAGAGUUUCAGAAAAGGAUCUGCUGGGGGAGCAACUCCCAUUUACUGAGGGGGAGAGAGAAAGUGUGUGUGU